GUUUCCAUUUUUAGAUUUCAGCUACAGAAGGCAGGAAUCCUUUGGACUUGGCCCUUUAUCAGUGGAAUGGACAGAGCAGCUCUCGGUGGGGUCUCUGUUGGGAAUGCCUGCUGAGACGGGACCAAGGACGGCUGCAGGAUGUGGUGUCUGUGCUCAGCGUCACCUCCUCCCAGGCUCCUGGGAAGCACCUGAGCAUCUCCUGACAAAGCCACCAUGAGCAAGACCCUCAGAGAAGGUAUGAAGAUGAGAGGCUGGUGUGAAGAGGCUGCUGUGAAGCAACUAUAUAGCAUCGGGCAGGACAUAAGGGGAAAUUGUUGCUUUCAUGUUCCUUUACCCCCACAGUUUGGAUUUCUGCCACAAGGAUCACUGUGGUCUUCCUCCCUGGGGCUCACUCCACCUACCCCACACCUCCCACCUCCCCCGUCCUCUCUUGGGGGACUUCCUGAGUUCUCGACAGAGCAGUUUCACUGUCUUCUCUCCACGCUUCCUGGACUGGCCCGCCCAUUUUUUUCUAUGACCCAGAAUUCCUUCCCAAAUAAGAGCGUCAUAUUCCUUGAGCCCCUUCACUAGAAGCAAGGAGAUGGGCAGGCGUUGAACUGCGGCUUUUCUCUAGACUCUUCCCUAAUCCCUAGGUUCCCCCAACUAUUUAGUCUAGAGCAAGCCCAGGAACAGUGAUUUUUUUUUUUUAACCUGCCAUUUCUGUUAUUCAAGCUGUUUUAGUCAGUUCAGGCUGCUGUAACAAAAAUGCAAUGGCCUGGGUGGUUUUAACAACAGAAAUGGAUUUCUCACAGUUCUUGUGAGGCUGGGACGCAGGAACCCCCACAUCCAAGUGCCAGGCAGUUCCGUGGCUGGGAGGGCUCCAGACUGGUGUGUGGAUGGCACCUUCUGCUGUGUCCUCACAUGGCUGAGAGAUGGGUCAUCUCUGUUCUUAUCAGGGCACUAAUCCCAUUCACAAGGCCCCCCAUGACCUAAUCACCUCCUAAAUGCCCCGCUUCCUAAUACCAGCACCUUGGAAAAUAGGGCUUCAAGAUACAAAUUUUGGGGGACUCAAACAUUCCAUCCAUAGCACCCGCUCAUGUGCUGUGAUGUCCAGUGAGCAGGCGGAGUUCCAGGGCUGGUCAGUGCCAGGUGCUCCUUCUCCCACCCGAGAACAGGGGCCAGGUUGCUCCUCAGGCACCCUGGGCAACUGCCCCUUCCCUUCCAGUGGGGCCUGACCUGGCUACCGAGCUUGGCAGCUAAUAGGCGGGCCCCUCAGCAUUCACGCUCCUGAGCUGCUUUAUCAAACUAGGAUUGUUCCCCCAGGUCUAAGAAAACCAUCCAUUCACUGCAAAGUUAUUUAUUACUGCGGAUGGGCUAGGAGUUAGAGGAAGAGAGUGACUCAAAUCACAACACCUCCUGGACGAAGCUGGAAGGGAUUAAAAUACGGCCUAAUUUCUCCCUUGCUGUGUGAAGCGUGUGGUUCUCCUAGAACAUCAGCCCGACUGUCGCUGGGUAGCGGCGGUACUGUUCAUUCUGCAUUAGCUUUGUCCAGAUUGUUCAGUGUGGGUCCCUGCCUACAGAUCUUGAUUCCUUGAGAUUGCCCUUUGUGCUUCUGUCUGGGGACUGCCUGUUUCUGUAAUGGCCACCGUCUCAGAACACAUGGUUGUAGGCCUCAGCAUUUGCCUUACACACAGCCCCCUUGGAGACAAACCGUGUCUGUGUCCCUCAGAAGGCCCUGACUUUCAGGGCACACUCCAGCCUGACUUUGGCACUCUGCUAGACACAUCCGAAACGCUGGUUCUCGUGUUGAAGUCUGUUAUGGAUAUGUAGGGUAAGGCAGGGAAACUGGAGCGCCUGCAUACCCUUGACUUCCUCCAUUUGGAAAAGAUAACCCUGAGACAUGGUGGAGGAGAAGGGGCCCUGACCUGUCAGCUACAUCUGGAUGUAACUCCCCUGAUGAAGAAAGUGCCAGAGGCAGCAAAGCAGCCCUUAUAGGGUAUUUUGUGCUCCCCCAACAGAGGAAGAGGAGCUUAGGGUCUCCAGGGAGAAUGUCUGGUUGUGAAGAGCCGCCAGGACCUGGAGCUGCACGGUUGCUCAGUGUGCAUUUCACUUGGUCAGCCCCUACGCUGGAGAGUGCUUGCAUCCGAACCUUCAGUGCCUGGAUAGACACUGAGCUGAGCGAACGGUAUGCUGGAAAAUGAAGCGUGCAAGUGACAAAGUGCUCAACUUAGACUCUGGGCAAAAUUCUCACAAAGGGCUUUCUAAUCCUCA
This 2250-nucleotide long non-coding RNA is filed under the name Homo sapiens (human). RNAcentral describes it as "HSALNT0338543". Lineage: Eukaryota; Metazoa; Chordata; Mammalia; Primates; Hominidae. The record is from RNAcentral.